UGAAUACGAGACGCUAAGGCGUCGAAGUAGUGUAUGUCAUACUUCCAAGAAAAGCUUGCACUGUCAUAGAUAAAAAACGCCUGUACCAUAACCGACACAGGUGGAUAGGUAGAGUAUACUAAGGGGCGCGAGAUAACUCUCUCUAAGGAACUCGGCAAAAUAACUCCGUAACUUCGGGAGAAGGAGUGCCUUAUUCGUAAGGUUGCAAUAACAAGAUCCAAGCAACUGUUUAUCAAAAACACAGGUCCCGCUAAGUCGUAAGACGAUGUAUGGGGGCUGACGCCUGCCCAGUGCCAGAAGGUUAAAGAAGUUGGUUAGCAAUUGCGAAGCUGAUAACUGAAGCCCUGGUGAACGGCGGCCGUAACUAUAACGGUCCUAAGGUAGCGAAAUUCCUUGUCGGGUAAGUUCCGACCCGCACGAAAGGCGUAAUGAUUUGGAUACUGUCUCGGAGAGGGGCUCGGUGAAAUAGACUUGUCUGUGAAGAUGCGGACUACCUGCACCAGGACAGAAAGACCCUAUGAAGCUUUACUGUAACUUGAAAUUGAAAUUGGACUUUAUUCGCGCAGUAUAGGUGGGAGGCGUUGAUUAUAAUCUUGUGGGAUUAUUGGAGCCAUCAGUGAGAUACCACUCUUGUAAUGUUAGAUUUCUAACUUUGAAUCAUUAUCUGGUCAAAGAACAGUUUCAGGCGGGCAGUUUGACUGGGGCGGUCGCCUCCUAACGGUAACGGAGGCGUACAAAGGUUUCCUCUGAACGGUUAGAAAUCGUAUCUAGAGUGUAAAGGCAUAAGGAAGCUUGACUGUGAGACCUACAAGUCGAGCAGGGACGAAAGUCGGUCUUAGUGAUCUGACGGUACUGAGUGGAAAGGCCGUCACUCAACGGAUAAAAGUUACUCUAGGAUAACAGGCUGAUCUCCCCCAAGAGUUCACAUCGACGGGGAGGUUUGGCACCUCGAUGUCGGCUCAUCGCAUCCUGGGGCGGUAGUACGUCCCAAGGGUUGGGCUGUUCGCCCAUGAAAGCGGUACGCGAGCUGGGUUCAGAACGUCGUGAGACAGUUCGGUCCAUAUCCGGUGUAGGCGUUAGAAUAUUGAGAGGAGCCUUCUUUAGUACGAGAGGACCGAGAAGGACAUACCUCUGGUGUACCAGUUAUCGUGCCAACGGUAAACGCUGGGUAGCUAUGUAUGGAGUGGAUAACCGCUGAAGGCAUCUAAGUGGGAAGCCCACCUCAAGAUAAGUAUUCUCA
RNAcentral lists this ribosomal RNA (1240 nucleotides) under metagenome. RNAcentral describes it as "bacterial LSU rRNA". It matches the Rfam family "Bacterial large subunit ribosomal RNA", at positions 1564 to 2816 of the family's 2925-position model. The record is from RNAcentral.